UACGUAGGGGGCGAGCGUUGUCCGGAAUUAUUGGGCGUAAAGAGCUCGUAGGCGGUUUGUCGCGUCGAAUGUGAAAACCCGGGGCUCAACUCCGGGCCUGCAUUCGAUACGGGCAGACUAGAGUUCGGUAGGGGAGACUGGAAUUCCUGGUGUAGCGGUGAAAUGCGCAGAUAUCAGGAGGAACACCGGUGGCGAAGGCGGGUCUCUGGGCCGAUACUGACGCUGAGGAGCGAAAGCGUGGGGGAGCGAACAGG
RNAcentral lists this ribosomal RNA (254 nucleotides) under uncultured bacterium. Its description in RNAcentral is "partial 16S ribosomal RNA". It matches the Rfam family "Bacterial small subunit ribosomal RNA", at positions 524 to 776 of the family's 1533-position model. The record is from RNAcentral.